Molecule: ribosomal RNA, 253 nt
Filed under: uncultured bacterium
Lineage: Bacteria
Description: partial 16S ribosomal RNA
Rfam family: Bacterial small subunit ribosomal RNA
Source: RNAcentral
UACGUAGGGGGCAAGCGUUGUCCGGAAUCAUUGGGCGUAAAGCGCGCGUAGGCGGCCCGGUAAGUCCGCUGUGAAAGUCGGGGGCUCAACCCUCGGAUGCCGGUGGAUACUGUCGGGCUUGAGUGCGGAAGAGGCGAGUGGAAUUCCUGGUGUAGCGGUGAAAUGCGCAGAUAUCAGGAGGAACACCAAUUGCGAAGGCAGCUCGCUGGGACGUGACUGACGCUGAGACGCGAAAGCGUGGGGAGCAAACAGG